GGAUGACGGCCCUACGGGUUGUAAACUGCUUUUAUGCGGGGAUAAAGUGAGGGACGUGUCCCUUUUUGCAGGUACCGCAUGAAUAAGGACCGGCUAAUUCCGUGCCAGCAGCCGCGGUAAUACGGAAGGUCCGGGCGUUAUCCGGAUUUAUUGGGUUUAAAGGGAGCGUAGGCCGGGGAUUAAGUGUGUUGUGAAAUGUAGGCGCCCAACGUCUGACUUGCAGCGCAUACUGGUUCCCUUGAGUACGCGCAACGCCGGCGGAAUUCGUCGUGUAGCGGCGAAAUGCUUAGAUAUGACGAAGAACCCCGAUUGCGAAGGCAGCCGGCGGGAGCGCAACUGACGCUGAAGCUCGAAGGUGCGGGUAUCGAACAGGAUUAGAUACCCUGGUAGUCCGCACGGUAAACGAUGGAUGCCCGCUGUCGGCGCCUUGCGCCGGCGGCCAAGCGAAAGCGUUAAGCAUCCCACCUGGGGAGUACGCCGGCAACGGUGAAACUCAAAGGAAUUGACGGGGGCCCGCACAAGCGGAGGAACAUGUGGUUUAAUUCGAAUGAUACGCGAGGAACCUUACCC
RNAcentral lists this ribosomal RNA (570 nucleotides) under Prevotella denticola. Its description in RNAcentral is "bacterial SSU rRNA". It matches the Rfam family "Bacterial small subunit ribosomal RNA", at positions 406 to 976 of the family's 1533-position model. The record is from RNAcentral. Lineage: Bacteria; Pseudomonadati; Bacteroidota; Bacteroidia; Bacteroidales; Prevotellaceae.